Molecule: long non-coding RNA, 288 nt
Organism: Tarenaya hassleriana
Lineage: Eukaryota; Viridiplantae; Streptophyta; Magnoliopsida; Brassicales; Cleomaceae
Exons: 2
Source: RefSeq, a predicted model, not a curated record
CUUUUGCUGAGGUAAGUGAAACCUUGGCUCCCGGGGUAUGGUCGGAUGUUUCAUCGACCUUAAGAUUGAAACAAAGACGGCAAAGCGAAACAGAAUGAAUGGUCGAUCAAAGUACGGCAUUGGUUGCGCCUUGGGGAUUAACUCUUUUCUCAGCCUUCUCAACUCUUCUUCUUCUGCCAACUGAACACAACAGCAGAAGAUUUGUUUUAUCAGUUUAUAACUUUAUUAGUUUAAGACAUAAGCGUCUCAUGUAGCUCUGCUUUACCUUCUGCUGCCGUUCUCUUUCCA